This is a non-coding RNA of Ictidomys tridecemlineatus (thirteen-lined ground squirrel), 72 nucleotides long. NCBI's taxonomy places the organism in Eukaryota, Metazoa, Chordata, Mammalia, Rodentia, Sciuridae. The record is from Rfam.
GGUGUUGUAGCUCAAUGGUAGAGUGCUUGCCUGGCAUGUGUGAGGCCCUGGGUUCGAUCCUCAGCACCACAU